AAUAUUGGUCAAUGGGCGAGAGCCUGAACCAGCCAUGCCGGGUGUAGGAAGACGGCCUUCUGGGUUGUAAAAUAAUUUUAUACAGGAACAAAUAGUCCAUGCGUGGAAAAUUGAGUGUGCUGUAUGAAUAAGCACCGGCUAACUCCGUGCCAGCAGCCGCGGUAAUAGGGAGGGUGCGAGCGUUGUCCGGAUUUAGUGGGUUUAAAGGGUGGGUGGGCAUCAAUUAAGUCAGGGGUGAAAUCGUAUAGCUUAACUAAGAAGGGGCAGGGAUAGGGGUGGGCGGGGGGGCAGAAGAGGUAGGCGGAAUGUAUGGUGUAGCGGUGAAAUGCAUAGAUACCAUAAAGAACACCGAGAGCGAAGGCAGCUUAAGGGACUGUAAGUGAGGGUGGGGCACGAAAGCAUGGGUAGCGAACAGGAUUAGAUACCGUGGUAGUCCAUGCCGUA
This 444-nucleotide ribosomal RNA is filed under the name uncultured marine bacterium. Its description in RNAcentral is "bacterial SSU rRNA". It matches the Rfam family "Bacterial small subunit ribosomal RNA", at positions 360 to 804 of the family's 1533-position model. The record is from RNAcentral.